CACAUGCUAUCUGGCCCAGCCAGCUGCGUGUGACCCUUCCAAUCCUGGCUGGCUGCCGAGGAAGUGAGUUACUUUCACUUUCAUUCCUCAGCACGCAGCCAGUCACCCCCCCCUUCCCCUCACCCAACCCAGACUGCCAGAGGGGAGGUGGGGAGAGGUGCUCCGUGGGGAGAAGAAUGGACCUUAUGGGGGGGGGGGGCAACAAAGGAUACUGCAGCCGUUGAGCCUGCUUCACCUCACGCUGUGGGGAGAGAGUCACACUCACAGGACCCAGCAUCCUUGCUCUUACAUGCUCCACUGCUUCCCAUCUGUCCGGACUCCCGGCAGAGUGGUGCCCUACACAGCUGCCUAUUCUGCCUACGGCUAAGGACGGCCCUGGGGGGCAGCUGUCAUGCAAGUGUGCAGGGCCAUUAAUUGCCUCCUACUACACAGGACUGUGACUCUGGGAAAUGUGCAGGACACAGUGAAUGGUUUUGCAGCAAUGGGCUUCCUGAACUGUGGCACACAAUAGAUGGCACACAUCUCUAUUUUAGCACCAAACCACAGAGCACAUCGAGGGAGAAGGCUAUUUUUCUAUGGUAAUGCAAGCACUGGUGGAUCACCAUAAAUGCUUUCCUGACAUCACUGUGGGCUGGUCAGCGAACGUGCAUGAUGCACACAUCUUUAAGAACACAAGACUGUUCAGAAUCAGGGACUUUCUUUUCCAGCUGGUGGAUUAUCAUCGGGAAUGUUGAAAUGCUAUCAAUGAUCCUGGGAGACCCAGUCUACCCCUUGCUCCCAUGGCUCAUAAGGCUGUACACCAGGUACCUCAACAGCACCAAGGACAGUUUGAAUCACAGGCUCAGUAGGUACAGAAAAAUAGUUGAAUGUGCCUUUGGUUGUCUGAAGGGUCAAUGGCAUUGUCUAUUUACGAGACUGGACCUCAAAGAAAAAAAAUGCCAAAGAUUGUUGCUGCCAGCUGUGUGCUGCAUAAUAUCUGUGAAGCGAAGGGGGAAAAGUUUCCACUAGGCUGGAGGUGGAGUGAACGGCUGCCCGCUGAAUGUGAAUAGCCAGAUACAAGGGCUAUAAAAAGAGCUCAACAUGGAGCUAUAUGGCUCAGGGAGGCUCUGAAAGACCAUUUUAAUAGGGUUCAUAGUAGUGUGCUCUAGCUGGCCUUGGUCUUUUGCAGCCCAGUAUGAAUCUUGUAGCGAGUGCUGUGUGUGUAGUAAUAUAACUUUGUCAAUGCACCUUUUAAUACUGUCUGAGAAUGAUAUCGUGGGUUCUGGAAUAAAAGGAAGUAACAGGAAAUUGGGGAGUGUCAGACAUGCUCAGCACCAGCCAGCAUAUGUUGUGAACGAAUAAAGAUGAAUUAUGUUUCAAAAAAUAGAAUUUUAUUCUGUAAUGUGAACCAGGCAAAUGAUUAAACAUUUAGAACUUUAUAAAACUUGAUAAAUUAAGGGAACACAACUUACAAUGGGAAAGAACUGCCAUUUUAUAUUUCAGGUGCGCACACACCAACCGUGUCUUUCACAGGUCCGUGUAUGUGCAGCUGUGAUGGUCUUUAAUGUCCCCUGGAUUGGAUUGGUAGGGGCAGUGCAGUGGUCCCUAAUGCCAUGUGGAAUGUUGAGGGGUGGUGUAAGGAGGUCCCAACAUUGAGUUGUCUACGGGCUGCAGAGGGAGGUAAGCCUGGGAUUCUUGGACCUACAGCUCUACCAGAGUCUGCAGGAUCUUGGUUUGCUGCCUGAGAAGCACCAUUAUGCUCUGGUGCAUCUCCCUCUCCUCUCCACUCCUUCCUUCCCCAUGACGUCUGCAAGGGUCAUCCUCCAGGCCCUGUUCUCAUUCUCUGAUGCAGCACAGGCUUACAACAUGUCCUAGAACACAUGAUCCUGAGUCCUCUUCUUUCUCCUUAUCUGGCUCAGGCUUUCUGUGGGUGUGGAGGGGUAGACCCUAAAGGCCACAAUAGCAGCAGCUGCAGACAACACACAGGAGUACCAUUGUCAAUAUAUUCACAACAGAAAUCAAACUUUAGGAUACUGGACUCACACCUCUUGAUCCCCAAAAGUUGUGAGCACUGCAUUCUCACUUCUUGGGAUGAUACAAUCCUGUGCCAGUCACAGCACCAGCCAUGGCGAGUAUGGCCCUUGGGCUGGGGAGAUGGUUGGGGAAUUGAAGGAGGAUAGCUCAGUUAAUAUAGUUGUAUAGAGCAAUGGAAGUGAAUAGUGGCACUGUUUUCCACCGGCAGGGGUGAUUUUAGCUAGUAACCCACUUCUGAGGGUAACAGCUGCUGCUGGCAUCCCGAUGCCACCUGGGCCGGUAUGCUGCUAGCCUAUGUACUACAAUGGUGCCUGUUGAAGUAAUCACUGAGUGGCAUGGAAGAGUGUUCUACUGCAGCAGAAGAAAUAAGGCAGCCCUCCCCAGAAACCUUUGGCAGAGGAUUGCAGAGUACCUUCAUCACAGUUUCAUCACGAUCUCUAUGGAGAAUUCACAGGACAUCCUGGAGAACAUAAAACAAACUGCUCUGCAUGGCCCCCCCUGUCUAACUCUAGAGGGGGAUGAGAAGCAGAUAACACCACCACGUCUCUUGGUUGUUUCACUACCUCUUCUAGCAUAAAUAAAAAGAGUGAAUCAACAGAUGUGUCCUGCUAGUUUGGGGGGUUCCAUCUCUAAUUUCAAAGCAAACGGCAUACUUACCCUGCAUCAGGCUCGCUCUUGUUUGACUGUCAGAACUGGCUGGACUGCGAUGGGGUCAAAAAAUACCCUGGCUCACUGUGCAGCUGGAUCCCCUGGUCGUCUGUCCCCCAUACUCCUCCUUGCUGUUCAUGGCAGGGUCCUAUGACUCGGGCUCCUCCAAAGUAUCCACAGGGCUCAGGUGUGGGGUCUCUCCCAAGGAUGGCAUGGACCUCUUUGUAAAAGUGGCAGGUCUACAGCUCUGCACCAGAUUGAUUGUUGACCUCCCUUGCCUUCUGUUAUGCCUGCCACAGCUCCUUGGCUUUCAUGCGGCAUUGCUGCUGGUCUCUCUUCUAGCCCUUCUCCUGCAUGCCCCAAUGAAUCUGCUCAUAGAUGUCAACAUUUCUACAGCUGGAUCGGAGCUGUGCCUGCACUGCCUCUUCUCCCCACAAACCCAGAAGGUACAAAACCUUCUGUCUAUUGCAAGUAGCUGGCAUGGGCAGGUGAGCAGCUGCACAUAACAAUGGAGUGUUGCUAGGUAUUUGCCAAGCCGGGCAACCAGGAAAAGGAAUUUCAAAAAUCUGUUGAGCUUUAAAGGGGAGGAAUAGUUUCCUGUCCACCUGGCCCAUGGGAAAUGGAGUUCACAACAGUGACCAGAGUGGUCACCGUGGGGCAUUGUGGGACAGCUCCUGGAGGCCAGUAACAGUUGACGUAAGUAACACAGUAUCUACACUGACACUGCGUCCACCUAAUUACAUCAACCUUGACUCUCCACCACUCAGGGAGGUGGUGGUGUUAAGCUGCCAUACCGGGGCAGUUAUAUUGGCAGAAACAAAAUUUAAGUGUAAACACAUCCAUAGCUGGGUUGAUGUAAGCUGCCUUGUGUUGACCUAACCAUGCAGUGUAGACCAGGCCUUAGUGACCAGAUCUGGUGCCCACAGGCUCUUCUGGGCCAACUUGCAGCAAGCACUGAAGACAAAAGGAGGGGAAACAGAUGAUGAGCAUAGACUUGUCUUGCCCCACAUCUAGAUGGGUUUUCAAUAUGCCCCUCAUUAAGCGUUUUAAAUAGAAGGCAGGAGUUCGGCAUUUCCACAUCAUAACACUGAGAUUGUUGUUUUGCUUUUAGUAGAAAAAGGGCACCAGGCUUCCAUCUCCUCUUCUUCUAGUUACGAUAGAUUUUGAAGUCCAAGAGCUACGUAUGAGCCAGUAUCAAUAACAAAUAGCCGUCAGGUUUGUCCAGGUAGUUAACAGGUCACUUGUUGCCAGAGUCAUAUUGGGAUUCCAGGUGAAUGGAUGCCUCCAGAGGAAAACAUCUGUGUGUCUGCCUCUGAGAGCAGCAGCCCAGUUCCUUGUGUUUUUGUUUUUGGGCAGAAGUUUGGCUCGAGCUUUGUGCUUCAUUUGUAUUUGCUGCUGUUUUGUUUUUAAAUAUGGAAACUACCUAAAGAGCCAAGUUAACAGCUCUGCUAGUCUGUCCCCAAUUACAUAAAAAUUAAAGGGCAAAAGACCUAUUAAGACCUCUAGUCCAUUUUCCAACACUCCUCGUUAGACAAGACUGUUACCUGCAGUAUAUUCUCCUGUGCUUUGGCGAAGCUAGCUGUAAGUAACAGAAGUGAUGGGGCGGACACUGCUUGCUUCCCUUGGCAGGUUAAAACAUCGCCACUCACCUUUGAAAAUCACAAAGUCAUAUACACACAAGGCAGGCAACAGGCUUUGGAAUGUAACAAUUUAUUGGGGUUAAUAUUUUUCUUUAACUCCCCAUUUCUGGCAUCGAUACAAUACUCAAGAGCAGCAGAAAGAACAAAAUGUACAAGAAUACGAGAGUAAUUAGCACAAACUGCCCCCAAACCCAGAGCAAGCCAUUUUUCCGUUGGAAACGCCAAUGGGAGGGGGAUCCUAUCGCCCCACCCUGCGUCCCAUCCAUCCACUCUAGACAGAGUUUAGCCAGCUGGGAACUGGAUUAAAAUAAACAAACGCAAACACUAUAUUUAAAAAUGAAAAUUACAAGACAAAAAAAUAUAUAGAUAUACAAUUCAUUCGUGCAUGAUUCUUUAAUUAAAUGCAUUUUUCAAAAUAAAAAAAAGUUACAAGAUAUUUAGGUUUAUUUUAAAUUAAAAAAAGUCACCACCUCCCCUCUCUGGGUAGGUCUCCAGUUGGCUCCGGGUGUGUGAUUCCCAGCUUGAAGAGACAUACUUGUGCCAGCUCUCAGAGCUUGCAUACUAAAAAUAGAGUGAAGCCAUGGUGGCACAAGCCACAGGACAGGCUAGUUGCCCCGAGUACAUGCCCGUCUAAGACCCUAGAGUAGCUAGCCAGUCCUGAAGUUUGCACUGCCACAGUUACACUCUAUUUUUAGUGCAUUAGCUCAAUAAGAAAUAGUGUGAAUGUCUCCUUGAGCUGGGAAUCACACAACCAGGUUAAAGGGUAACCAUACCCUGUAUGCCAAGUGUGGGGUAGGUAUGGAGGGGGGUAUAUGGGUUGCAUCAGGACCAUCACCAUUAUAGAAAUUAAAUCAAAAUCUCUCUCUGGGAUAAAGAGUAAGGCCCUGAUCCUGCAAAGACUUAUGCACAUGCUUAGCUUGAAGCAAGUACCUCUAGACAUCAGUGGAACUACUCGCCUGCUUAAAGUUAAGUACUUGCAUAAGUCUGCAGGAUCUGGGCCUCAGUUUGGCACCUGGGGAGGUGGAGGGAAGAGGCAGAUGUGCAAGCCCUGAUUCCCACCCCCCCUUGCAAUUUUCCACCCAAAAUUUAAAAAAAAAAAAAAAAAAGAAAAGAAAAGAAAAAAAAGAAUCCCCUACUGUUAAGAGGAGAAGGGGGGGCAUGGCAAGUAGUUUAG
Chelonia mydas (Green sea turtle) is the source of this 5475-nucleotide long non-coding RNA. RefSeq lists it as uncharacterized. The record is from RefSeq and is a predicted model, not a curated record. Lineage: Eukaryota; Metazoa; Chordata; Testudines; Cheloniidae. The transcript has 2 exons.